This 1010-nucleotide ribosomal RNA is filed under the name Lactiplantibacillus plantarum. Its description in RNAcentral is "bacterial SSU rRNA". It matches the Rfam family "Bacterial small subunit ribosomal RNA", at positions 433 to 1436 of the family's 1533-position model. The record is from RNAcentral. Lineage: Bacteria; Bacillati; Bacillota; Bacilli; Lactobacillales; Lactobacillaceae.
CUGUUGUUAAAGAAGAACAUAUCUGAGAGUAACUGUUCAGGUAUUGACGGUAUUUAACCAGAAAGCCACGGCUAACUACGUGCCAGCAGCCGCGGUAAUACGUAGGUGGCAAGCGUUGUCCGGAUUUAUUGGGCGUAAAGCGAGCGCAGGCGGUUUUUUAAGUCUGAUGUGAAAGCCUUCGGCUCAACCGAAGAAGUGCAUCGGAAACUGGGAAACUUGAGUGCAGAAGAGGACAGUGGAACUCCAUGUGUAGCGGUGAAAUGCGUAGAUAUAUGGAAGAACACCAGUGGCGAAGGCGGCUGUCUGGUCUGUAACUGACGCUGAGGCUCGAAAGUAUGGGUAGCAAACAGGAUUAGAUACCCUGGUAGUCCAUACCGUAAACGAUGAAUGCUAAGUGUUGGAGGGUUUCCGCCCUUCAGUGCUGCAGCUAACGCAUUAAGCAUUCCGCCUGGGGAGUACGGCCGCAAGGCUGAAACUCAAAGGAAUUGACGGGGGCCCGCACAAGCGGUGGAGCAUGUGGUUUAAUUCGAAGCUACGCGAAGAACCUUACCAGGUCUUGACAUACUAUGCAAAUCUAAGAGAUUAGACGUUCCCUUCGGGGACAUGGAUACAGGUGGUGCAUGGUUGUCGUCAGCUCGUGUCGUGAGAUGUUGGGUUAAGUCCCGCAACGAGCGCAACCCUUAUUAUCAGUUGCCAGCAUUAAGUUGGGCACUCUGGUGAGACUGCCGGUGACAAACCGGAGGAAGGUGGGGAUGACGUCAAAUCAUCAUGCCCCUUAUGACCUGGGCUACACACGUGCUACAAUGGAUGGUACAACGAGUUGCGAACUCGCGAGAGUAAGCUAAUCUCUUAAAGCCAUUCUCAGUUCGGAUUGUAGGCUGCAACUCGCCUACAUGAAGUCGGAAUCGCUAGUAAUCGCGGAUCAGCAUGCCGCGGUGAAUACGUUCCCGGGCCUUGUACACACCGCCCGUCACACCAUGAGAGUUUGUAACACCCAAAGUCGGUGGGGU